This 303-nucleotide ribosomal RNA is filed under the name uncultured bacterium. RNAcentral describes it as "partial 16S ribosomal RNA". It matches the Rfam family "Bacterial small subunit ribosomal RNA", at positions 507 to 807 of the family's 1533-position model. The record is from RNAcentral.
AGCAGUCGCCACGGGAAUACGUAGGGCGCAAGCGUUGUCCGGAAUUAUUGGGCGUAAAGAGCUCGUAGGCGGUCUGUCGCGUCUGGUGUGAAAUCCCGAGGCUCAACCUCGGGCUUGCAUCGGGUACGGGCAGACUAGAGUGCGGUAGGGGAGACUGGAAUUCCUGGUGUAGCGGUGGAAUGCGCAGAUAUCAGGAGGAACACCGAUGGCGAAGGCAGGUCUCUGGGCCGCAACUGACGCUGAGGAGCGAAAGCAUGGGGAGCGAACAGGAUUAGAUACCCCGGUAGUCCCUGUCUCUUAUAC